GUAGUUGACUCCGUGGCUACGAGGACGAACGCUGGCGGCGUGCUUAACACAUGCAAGUCGAACGAUGAAGCCCCUUCGGGGGUGGAUUAGUGGCGAACGGGUGAGUAACACGUGGGCAAUCUGCCCUGCACUCUGGGACAAGCCCUGGAAACGGGGUCUAAUACCGGAUACGACACAGGGAGGCAUCUCCUCUGUGUGGAAAGCUCCGGCGGUGCAGGAUGAGCCCGCGGCCUAUCAGCUUGUUGGUGAGGUAACGGCUCACCAAGGCGACGACGGGUAGCCGGCCUGAGAGGGCGACCGGCCACACUGGGACUGAGACACGGCCCAGACUCCUACGGGAGGGCAGCAGUGGGGAAUAUUGCACAAUGGGCGCAAGCCUGAUGCAGCGACGCCGCGUGAGGGAUGACGGCCUUCGGGUUGUAAACCUCUUUCAGUAGGGAAGAAGCGCAAGUGACGGUACCUGCAGAAGAAGCGCCGGCUAACUACGUG
RNAcentral lists this ribosomal RNA (489 nucleotides) under uncultured Streptomycetaceae bacterium. RNAcentral describes it as "bacterial SSU rRNA". It matches the Rfam family "Bacterial small subunit ribosomal RNA", at positions 1 to 507 of the family's 1533-position model. Lineage: Bacteria; Bacillati; Actinomycetota; Actinomycetes; Kitasatosporales; Streptomycetaceae. The record is from RNAcentral.